AUCCAGACUCCUACGGGAGGCAGCAGUGGGGAAUAUUGCACAAUGGGCGCAAGCCUGAUGCAGCCAUGCCGCGUGUAUGAAGAAGGCCUUCGGGUUGUAAAGUACUUUCAGCGGGGAGGAAGGUGUUGUGGUUAAUAACCACAGCAAUUGACGUUACCCGCAGAAGAAGCACCGGCUAACUCCGUGCCAGCAGCCGCGGUAAUACGGAGGGUGCAAGCGUUAAUCGGAAUUACUGGGCGUAAAGCGCACGCAGGCGGUUGAUUGAGUCAGAUGUGAAAUCCCCGGGCUUAACCCGGGAAUUGCAUCUGAUACUGGUCAGCUAGAGUCUUGUAGAGGGGGGUAGAAUUCCAUGUGUAGCGGUGAAAUGCGUAGAGAUGUGGAGGAAUACCGGUGGCGAAGGCGGCCCCCUGGACAAAGACUGACGCUCAGGUGCGAAAGCGUGGGGAGCAAACAGGAUUAGAUACCCGUAC
Molecule: ribosomal RNA, 470 nt
Filed under: uncultured bacterium
Lineage: Bacteria
Description: bacterial SSU rRNA
Rfam family: Bacterial small subunit ribosomal RNA
Source: RNAcentral